AGGACUAACGCUGGCGGCGUGCCUAACACAUGCAAGUCGAACGAGAGUAGCAAUACUCUAGUGGCAGACGGGUGAGUAACACGUGGUCAACCUACCUCUUAGUGGGGGAUAACUAACCGAAAGGUUAGCUAAUACCGCAUUCGAUCUUCGAUCGGCAUCGAUUGAAGAUGAAAGGCGCAAGUCGCUAAGAGACGGGACCGCGUCCCAUUAGCUAGUUGGUAGGGUAAUGGCCUACCAAGGCGACGAUGGGUAGCUGGCUUGAGAGAGCGACCAGCCACACUGGGACUGAGACACGGCCCAGACUCCUACGGGAGGCAGCAGUGAGGAAUUUUCCGCAAUGGGCGCAAGCCUGACGGAGCGACGCCGCGUGUGGAAGAGGCCUUCGGGUCGUAACCACUGUCGAAGGGGAAGAUAUUGACGGUACCCUUGGAGGAAGCCCGGCUAACUACGUGCCAGCAGCCGC
This 463-nucleotide ribosomal RNA is filed under the name uncultured bacterium. RNAcentral's name for it is "SSU rRNA". It matches the Rfam family "Bacterial small subunit ribosomal RNA", at positions 26 to 518 of the family's 1533-position model. The record is from RNAcentral.